Molecule: ribosomal RNA, 497 nt
Filed under: uncultured bacterium
Lineage: Bacteria
Description: partial 16S ribosomal RNA
Rfam family: Bacterial small subunit ribosomal RNA
Source: RNAcentral
GAUGAACGCUGGCGGCGUGCCUAAUACAUGCAAGUAGAACGCUGAAGCUUGGUGCUUGCACCGAGCGGAUGAGUUGCGAACGGGUGAGUAACGCGUAGGUAACCUGCCUCUUAGCGGGGGAUAACUAUUGGAAACGAUAGCUAAUACCGCAUAAAAGUCGAUAUCGCAUGAUAUUGAUUUGAAAGGUGCAAAUGCAUCACUAAGAGAUGGACCUGCGUUGUAUUAGCUAGUUGGUGAGGUAAUGGCUCACCAAGGCGACGAUACAUAGCCGACCUGAGAGGGUGAUCGGCCACACUGGGACUGAGACACGGCCCAGACUCCUACGGGAGGCAGCAGUAGGGAAUCUUCGGCAAUGGGGGCAACCCUGACCGAGCAACGCCGCGUGAGUGAAGAAGGUUUUCGGAUCGUAAAGCUCUGUUGUAAGAGAAGAACGAGUGUGAGAGUGGAAAGUUCACACUGUGACGGUAACUUACCAGAAAGGGACGGCUAACUACGUG